GUGGCUUCAUAGCUCUAGAAUUUCUUUCUCCUGAGAAUUAAAACACAACCACACACCAAUACACCCCACAGUUCCCAAUACACCACUUCCCCAAAUCCAAACACCUCGAUGCUCCUCCUCCCCAACAAGACAAAAUCCUUGAUUGGACUAAACCUUGACUCACUCCUCUCAGAGAUAGGAGUAUCCUAACCAGAAUUAAGACAUUAGCAUUUAGGUGGGAUUUCUGCAAGAGGAGAAGGCAAAGAUAACCCUGAAAUCAAAACAUAAAUAUUCUAUAUGUGGUAUUCUGAACCUGUACACAAGGGCAAAAGGGGGUCAAUGAACUGUCUAUCUGCUAAAUCUUUGAAUGUGCUUUGCACUCACUGUGUACUUAUUGCAUGUUGAUAACUAGAAGAAGAGAAGGAAAAGGAGAAAGCUGACUUUGGGUGAAAGAUAAUACAGGAGUACUCAUAAAAGCCAUGCCAGACUUUAGUCUUCCUUUCAACAUCUCACUCCCCAGAAAGUAAGAGUUAUCUUAUUAGUUUACAUGAAUAAGCCUGGUCUGGCUUCUCUCUUCUCAGAAAUCCUGUAUUUCAGGCCCAAGAUAAAACCAACAAUACUGAUAUGAGGGAAAUGAAUGCCAUGUGGUGCCUGAAGAGUUAUAACAGAACCAAAUGACAAGGAAAGAAUGUAGCAGAAAUCUGGAAGAUACAAUGGGCAGGUCAAAUCAUCAUGUUUCACCAAGAAGAGUAAACGGAAAAAGAGAGGAAGGAAGAUUGAAAUAGGAACAAUGAUAAAGAUGACCACAAUUUGCCGGACAUGUCGUAGGUACUUAAUAAAUACAUGUUGAUUGGCUGACUUACUGAUAGU
RNAcentral lists this long non-coding RNA (849 nucleotides) under Monodelphis domestica (gray short-tailed opossum). Its description in RNAcentral is "lncRNA (ENSMODG00000042580.1)". Lineage: Eukaryota; Metazoa; Chordata; Mammalia; Didelphimorphia; Didelphidae. The record is from RNAcentral.